UGAUUGCGUUUUGUGCGCCAGAGCUUGGACACUAGAGCUGCAGCUGCGGCCUCUCCAUUCUCUGAUCAAAGCUUUUCUUUGUUUCUCAACCAAAAACUCCAUCUAUGGACCCACACAACACCGUGCUGAAGGAAGGACCCUGGUUGGGGAUGGACUCUGGCAGUGGGGAGGAAGCUGAAAAUGACAAGUAUCACACAGUGGCCUAAGCCAGUUUGGAUCUUCAUAGAGGAUAUCUAUAGUGUCCUAUGGUUAGAGGUUCUGUCACCCCUUCCUUGGUAUCCUCUAAGAAUGUUAAAAACAAAACAUGAAUGCAGAAGGAUCUGAGGAAACAGGAAAAACCUCACUCUACUUGCAUACCUGUGGCCUCCAGAAUUCAAGUGAAGACACUUCAACUUGGUAGAAUGCAGCUCAUUUUACUCCCAGGGUUCUGGUGACUGUACAGGGAGGGAGGCAGUCUGCAGCAAAAGAGAGGUCAUAUCUCUCAAAAACACUGUUCAGAAAGCAGAUUUGAAUCCACUCUUGGUCUUACCAGUGUGACUGGGUUCCUCUGCUCUCUUCCUUUGAAUAUCUUAGCUGUGGGGGAGUGAUGACACUGGAAAUGGAAGUUGUGGGGAGACAACUUCACAUUGGCAGCUGGAAUUUGGGCUUUAAGUUCAUAUUUGAAGGCCACUUGGACCCUCACAAUGGGUCUCAAUUUUUCUGCAUUUUUACACAGUUUGACAUUGUAGUUCUUCAUUUUUUUAUGGUAUCUUUAUUUAUUUUUUAAUUAAUUUAUUUUAAUUGAAGGC
Molecule: long non-coding RNA, 788 nt
Organism: Bubalus bubalis (water buffalo)
Lineage: Eukaryota; Metazoa; Chordata; Mammalia; Artiodactyla; Bovidae
Exons: 3
Source: RefSeq, a predicted model, not a curated record